UACUAGAGUAGCACUCGCAUAUCAAUAAGCGGAGGAAAAGAAACUAACAAGGAUUCCCCUAGUAACGGCGAGUGAAGCGGGAAGAGCUCAAAUUUGAAAUCUUAAAGGGUUUCCCUUUACGAAUUGUAGUUUAAAGAAGUGUUUUCUGUUGAUGGUUUUGGUAAAAGUUCUUUGGAAUAGGACAUCAUAGAGGGUGAGAAUCCCGUAUUUGACCUUUACUUUCAACUUUGUGAUACACUUUCAAAGAGUCGGAUUGUUUGGGAAUGCAGUCCAAAAUGGGUGGUAAAUUUCAUCUAAAGCUAAAUAUUGGCGAGAGACCGAUAGCGAACAAGUACCGUGAGGGAAAGAUGAAAAGAACCUUGAAAAGAGAGUUAAACAGUACGUGAAAUUGUCAAAAGGGAAGCGUUUGACACCAGUGUUGUUUUUCUGAAAAUCAAUUAAAGAACUGUUUAUGCUAAGCUGUUUAGACUUUAUCAGCUAAUCUGUUUAGUUUUGAGCUUUUCUUUAAUGCACUUUUCAGUUAACAAGUCAACAUCAAUUUCUCUUGCUGUAAAAAAGCUUGAGGAAGGUGGCUUGAGAUUCGUCUUAAGUGUUUAUAGCCUCUUGCCUAUGCAGUCGGAGAGAUUGAGGUCUGCAGCGUAGAUCCUUCGGGGCUAAAUGCAUUUGUGCUAAGUUAUAGCAUUUUAUAGACAACUUGUUGACUAUGAUUUGUCUUGUAGCUUACUCGCUUAUGUUAUUUUACCUACGCUUAGGAUGUUGAGCGCAUGUCUCUCUCU
RNAcentral lists this ribosomal RNA (776 nucleotides) under uncultured Neocallimastigales. Its description in RNAcentral is "partial large subunit ribosomal RNA". It matches the Rfam family "Eukaryotic large subunit ribosomal RNA", at positions 20 to 616 of the family's 3401-position model. Lineage: Eukaryota; Fungi; Neocallimastigomycota; Neocallimastigomycetes; Neocallimastigales. The record is from RNAcentral.